This 253-nucleotide ribosomal RNA is filed under the name uncultured bacterium. RNAcentral's name for it is "partial 16S ribosomal RNA". It matches the Rfam family "Bacterial small subunit ribosomal RNA", at positions 524 to 776 of the family's 1533-position model. The record is from RNAcentral.
UACGAAGGUCCCAAGCGUUGUUCGGAAUCACUGGGCGUAAAGGGUGCGUAGGCGGCGUGGUAAGUCAGUUGUGAAAUCCCGGGGCUCAACCCCGGAACUGCAUCCGAUACUGCCAUGCUAGAGGAUUGGAGAGGUAGCUGGAAUUCUUGGUGUAGCAGUGAAAUGCGUAGAGAUCAAGAGGAACACUCGUGGCGAAAGCGAGCUACUGGACAAUUCCUGACGCUGAGGCUCGAAGGCUAGGGUAGCGAAAGGG